GAUUGAAAAUUUCAUCUACUUUUACUGUUAAAAACUAAAAUUGCUGACAGAAUAAUCAAACAGUAACACGUGAUGUGUCACAUGUACCUCAUGCUGAUGUAUAAAGGCUAAUUUUUUAACAUUAAAAACAGAUGUAAUUUGUAAUA
Non-coding RNA from Gossypium hirsutum (cotton), 146 nucleotides. Lineage: Eukaryota; Viridiplantae; Streptophyta; Magnoliopsida; Malvales; Malvaceae. The record is from Rfam.